This 379-nucleotide ribosomal RNA is filed under the name uncultured eukaryote. RNAcentral describes it as "partial 18S ribosomal RNA". It matches the Rfam family "Eukaryotic small subunit ribosomal RNA", at positions 591 to 976 of the family's 1831-position model. The record is from RNAcentral.
CCAAUAGCGUAUAUUAAAGUUGUUGCAGUUAAAAAGCUCGUAGUUGGAUUUCGGGACGGGCCAGUUGGUCCGCCGCAAGGUGUGUUACUGACUGGUCUGUUCUUCUUCGCAAAGACUGCGUGUGCUCUUCGUUGAGUGUGCGUAGGAUUUACGACGUUUACUUUGAAAAAAUUAGAGUGUUCAAAGCAGGCUAUCGCUUGAAUACAUGAGCAUGGAAUAAUGGAAUAGGACUUUGGUCCUAUUUUGUUGGUUUCUAGGACCGAAGUAAUGAUUAAGAGGGACAAUUGGGGGCAUCCGUAUUUCGUUGUCAGAGGUGAAAUUCUUGGAUUUACGAAAGACGAACAACUGCGAAAGCACUUGCCAAGAGUGUUUUCAUUAA